Molecule: ribosomal RNA, 254 nt
Filed under: uncultured bacterium
Lineage: Bacteria
Description: partial 16S ribosomal RNA
Rfam family: Bacterial small subunit ribosomal RNA
Source: RNAcentral
UACGUAGGGGGCAAGCGUUAUCCGGAUUUACUGGGUGUAAAGGGAGCGCAGGUGGCAAGGCAAGCCAGAAGUGAAAACCCGGGGCUUAACCCCGCGGAUUGCUUUUGGAACUGUCUGGCCGGAGUGCAGGAGGGGCAGGCGGAAUUCCUGGUGUAGCGGUGAAAUGCGUAGAUAUCAGGAGGAACACCGGUGGCGAAGGCGGCCUGCUGGACUGUAACUGACACUGAGGCUCGAAAGCGUGGGGAGCAAACAGG